Non-coding RNA from Phrynosoma platyrhinos (Desert horned lizard), 72 nucleotides. The record is from the annotation of a GenBank genome assembly. Lineage: Eukaryota; Metazoa; Chordata; Lepidosauria; Squamata; Phrynosomatidae.
GCCAGCGUGGUGUAGUGGUCUGAAAGCUGGACUGUGACUCUGGAGACAAGGGUUCGAAUCCCGGCUCAGCUG